Dermochelys coriacea (leatherback sea turtle) is the source of this 402-nucleotide long non-coding RNA. RefSeq lists it as uncharacterized. NCBI's taxonomy places the organism in Eukaryota, Metazoa, Chordata, Testudines, Dermochelyidae. The record is from RefSeq and is a predicted model, not a curated record. The transcript has 3 exons.
AAUUUUGAGACAACUUCUCAGCUGGGGUAAAUCUGCAAAGUUCUAAUGAAGUCAGUUGAACAGUGCCAAUUUAAAUCAGCUGAGACUUUUGGGCUGGAUGCCCUUCUUGUAAACCAAGCUGUGUUUGUCUGUAUCCCUUCUCACAAUCUCACCCCUCUUAAUGCCAGAGCUGUCUAUUUCAAAGUCCCUGCCAAAGGGAACACUCUCCUGUGUCUCUCUGCCUUCUUGACUGUCUGGGCUGAAUUCAGCCUGGACCAGAAAUAGAGAGGAAGCUGCCUGUCCUUUCCUGAUCCAGCGGAUACCAGAAACGUAUGUUUGUGCAAUCUGGAAGGCAUUUGACCACUUAAUACAAUUUCAUUUGUUCAGAGCAACCCAUCUGAGCAGUUGCAUGGGUGUCAUGCC